AAUGGCAAGUGAAUGUGUGUCUGUGUGUAGCCUGAGGUCCCAUUAAGCCAUAUUGUUGGACAGGAGCCCACACAGUGUUCACAGUUCAGCUGCAGCUAAUCAGCUUCCAUCCUGGUGACUACAUACCAUGAUACACUAUGAACUAUGGCUGCUUCGUUUGAUUGACAGGUGGAGGCACAGUAGGCACAGCUGAACUGAGCUGAGCUGAAGCAAAGAAGAAGAAAACAUCAAAGAGGAGGUCGGCCAUUGCUGUUUUAUCUCUACCUGCAAUUCAUUUUAUUCAAGUGUUACUACAACGUUAUUACAACUUAAAAUAUGUGUUUCUGAUUGGCUGGCAGUUGUCUGUUGCAAUCAUUCAUUAGUUAAGGUCAGCAGUUUACAAUAUGGUGACCAACAACUGCAGAAGCAGAGUUAUGUCUGUUAGUUAAGUCCGGUCACCACACAACAAGCACUGAAGGAUAGCGCUGAACCUGAGUGUACAUGCCUGACACUCCAGGGGCACGCUGGUGAUGAGAUGGAGCCUGAUGUUGGAACUGCCAUUGCUGAAUAUCUGCUGUACCUGGAGGUGAUCGAGAGGGACCUGGCCUUUGGUCCGGUGAGAGCAGUGACAGAUGGGAGGAAACUCCUGCAAACUCAGGAUAUUAGAUUUGCAGAAGUGAGCAACAAUAAAUAAAAUUGUCACAUUGUUUUCACAUUGUCACAUUGAUACAUUGAUAUUGAAAGAAAAUUUAUUUUAGCCGCUUCAAGAACAAUAAACCAUGUUUCCUGAUGCUUUCUCCUCUCAUAUCUGUAGGCUCAGAUAAAUAGCAGAAAAUGACUUGCUGUUGCUGACAACACAGUAAAUCUAUUUUAUGUUCAAUCACAUUUAACACAGCUGUGUUUAGGUUGCAUGACACAGCACUGUCGGCUUGUAAACUUGAACACAACAAUAGUUACUAUGUAUAGCAUAAUUAUGCUUACAGUGAUUGGUGACCUUAAUAAAUGUACAAUGCAAAA
This is a long non-coding RNA of Lates calcarifer (barramundi perch), 996 nucleotides long. RefSeq lists it as uncharacterized. Lineage: Eukaryota; Metazoa; Chordata; Actinopteri; Centropomidae. The transcript is spliced from 2 exons. The record is from RefSeq and is a predicted model, not a curated record.